GGCUCAGGACGAACGCUGGCGGCGUGCUUAACACAUGCAAGUCGAACGAUGAUCCGGUGCUUGCACCGGGGAUUAGUGGCGAACGGGUGAGUAACACGUGAGUAACCUGCCCUUGACUCUGGGAUAAGCCUGGGAAACCGGGUCUAAUACCGGAUACGACCCGUCACCGCAUGGUGGUGGGUGGAAAGAUUUUUUGGUUUUGGAUGGACUCGCGGCCUAUCAGCUUGUUGGUGAGGUAAUGGCUCACCAAGGCGACGACGGGUAGCCGGCCUGAGAGGGUGACCGGCCACACUGGGACUGAGACACGGCCCAGACUCCUACGGGAGGCAGCAGUGGGGAAUAUUGCACAAUGGGCGAAAGCCUGAUGCAGCGACGCCGCGUGAGGGAUGACGGCCUUCGGGUUGUAAAC
RNAcentral lists this ribosomal RNA (409 nucleotides) under Crystallibacter crystallopoietes. Its description in RNAcentral is "bacterial SSU rRNA". It matches the Rfam family "Bacterial small subunit ribosomal RNA", at positions 21 to 430 of the family's 1533-position model. The record is from RNAcentral. Lineage: Bacteria; Bacillati; Actinomycetota; Actinomycetes; Micrococcales; Micrococcaceae.